Molecule: ribosomal RNA, 493 nt
Filed under: uncultured bacterium
Lineage: Bacteria
Description: partial 16S ribosomal RNA
Rfam family: Bacterial small subunit ribosomal RNA
Source: RNAcentral
GACGAACGCUGGCGGCGUGCUUAACACAUGCCAGUCGAACGGUGAAGGGACCGGUUUUUGCUGGUUCUGGAUGAGUGGCGAACGGGUGAGUAACACGUGAGUAACCUGCCCCCUUCUUCUGGAUAACCGCAUGAAAGUGUGGCUAAUACGGGAUAUUCUGCGCCUGCUGCAUGGUGGGUGUGGGAAAGAUAUUGUUUCGGUGGGGGAUGGGCUCGCGGCCUAUCAGCUUGUUGGUGGGGUGAUGGCCUACCAAGGCGGUGACGGGUAGCCGGCCUGAGAGGGUGGACGGUCACACUGGGACUGAGACACGGCCCAGACUCCUACGGGAGGCAGCAGUGGGGAAUAUUGCACAAUGGGCGCAAGCCUGAUGCAGCGACGCCGCGUGAGGGAUGGAGGCCUGCGGGUUGUAAACCUCUUUCGCCAGUGAAGCAGGCCUGUCCCUUUUGUGGGUGGGUUGACGGUAGCUGGAUAAGAAGCGCCGGCUAACUACGUG